RNAcentral lists this ribosomal RNA (253 nucleotides) under uncultured bacterium. Its description in RNAcentral is "partial 16S ribosomal RNA". It matches the Rfam family "Bacterial small subunit ribosomal RNA", at positions 524 to 776 of the family's 1533-position model. The record is from RNAcentral.
UACAGAGGGGGCUAGCGUUGUUCGGAAUUACUGGGCGUAAAGCGCACGUAGGCGGCUUUGCAAGUCAGAGGUGAAAGCCCGGGGCUCAACCCCGGAAUUGCCUUUGAGACUGCAUCGCUAGAAUUGUGGAGAGGUAAGUGGAAUUCCGAGUGUAGAGGUGAAAUUCGUAGAUAUUCGGAAGAACACCAGUGGCGAAGGCGACUUACUGGACACAUAUUGACGCUGAGGUGCGAAAGCGUGGGGAGCAAACAGG